GUAUAACUUUUAUAUAUAUAGGCCAACCAUUCUAAACAGAUUUUGUGAACAUAGACCUGCAAGGCAAAGCUGGCUUGUGAAGCACAGCAGUCCCAACUCGAAUGAAAUCCAGCUCCAGGUCUACAAGAGGUGCACAGUUUGGAGAAAUGAUAAAGAUGACAAGCGUGCACAUGCCCCCAGGAGGACCAGCAACAGCCUGUUCAAGUUUAUUCAAUAAUGAUCCUUCCGCAGGUUCACCUACGGAAA
Molecule: unclassified non-coding RNA, 246 nt
Filed under: uncultured fungus
Lineage: Eukaryota; Fungi
Description: sequence contains ITS1
Source: RNAcentral